Molecule: ribosomal RNA, 398 nt
Filed under: uncultured euryarchaeote
Lineage: Archaea; Methanobacteriati; Methanobacteriota
Description: bacterial SSU rRNA
Rfam family: Archaeal small subunit ribosomal RNA
Source: RNAcentral
CCUCCGCAAUGUGAGAAAUCGCGACGGGGGGACCCCAAGUGCCAUUCUUAACGGGAUGGCUUUUCUUGAGUGUAAAAAGCCCUUGGAAUGAGAGCUGGGCAAGACCGGUGCCAGCCGCCGCGGUAACACCGGCAGCUCUAAUGGUAGCCAUUUUUAUUGGGCCUAAAGCGUUCGUAGCCGGUCUGAUAAGUCUCUGGUGAAAUCCUACAGCUUAACUGUGGGAAUUGCUGGAGAUACUAUUAGACUUGAGGUCGGGAGAGGUUAGAGGUACUCCCAGGGUAGGGGUGAAAUCCUGUAAUCCUGGGAGGACCACCUGUGGCGAAGGCGUCUAACUGGAACGAACCUGACGGUGAGGGACGAAAGCUAGGGGCGCGAACCGGAUUAGAUACCCGCGUAGU